This is a long non-coding RNA of Dreissena polymorpha, 755 nucleotides long. RefSeq lists it as uncharacterized. The transcript has 3 exons. NCBI's taxonomy places the organism in Eukaryota, Metazoa, Mollusca, Bivalvia, Myida, Dreissenidae. The record is from RefSeq and is a predicted model, not a curated record.
CACUGAGGAAGUUAUCUUUUUGAAAACAACAACUUUUGAAAAACAAGCUGGUGUCAGCAAUUGAAUAUUGAGCUAAAUUUAAUUCAGCAACAUUAAUAUAAAGAAGUGAAAGACUUAUAAUGGUAGUGUAAAAUGUCUUGAAAUUCUGUCAGCAUGAAGUAUUGUGUGAUGAAAACAAUGUGUUUUUUACUGCAAUGUGGAAAUCAAUAAUAAGUUGGUUGGAAAGGGGGUUGAACUGCCUGUUGUUGUUUUUGGAAUACUGAAGAACAGUUUUAACAGGUUAAACUCUUGCCACAAGGCAAAAUUGACAUCGAUGGGAAGAUCCUUUGGAAAGAAUGUGCAUCAUCGCCUGCCUGAUGUAUGGACUUUUAAACCUGGUUUUUACCCUGCACAAGCUGGCAAACUUGAGGGGAACAAGAGUGGGAAAACCUCGCCCUGUCCUUGACCAAGAAAGCUCGAUUUGUUGAGAGAUCAACUGGCAUAAGAGAUGCUCAAGAGGAGAAGGACACAAGCAGCAUCAAUGGUACAACUACAUGUCGCUCCAGCGCCCGCUUUCCAGGUCUCUACCAGCUGCUUUCCAGGUCCCUCCACCCGCCAAGAUCAGGUCUAGGUCCCUGCACUGGCUGCUUUCCAGGUCCCCUAGCGGUCAAGGUCUCUCCAGUAGCUGCUGUGCAGGUCCCAACACCGUAUGCCGUCAAGGUCCCUCCAUAAGCUGAAAUCCAGGUUCCUCAUUCCAUUGCGGUUCAGGUACCUCC